RNAcentral lists this transfer RNA (83 nucleotides) under Canis lupus familiaris (dog). It matches the Rfam family "tRNA". Rfam says of the family: Transfer RNA (tRNA) molecules are approximately 80 nucleotides in length. Their secondary structure includes four short double-helical elements and three loops (D, anti-codon, and T loops). Further hydrogen bonds mediate the characteristic L-shaped molecular structure. tRNAs have two regions of fundamental functional importance: the anti-codon, which is responsible for specific mRNA codon recognition, and the 3' end, to which the tRNAs corresponding amino acid is attached (by aminoacyl-tRNA synthetases). tRNAs cope with the degeneracy of the genetic code in two manners: having more than one tRNA (with a specific anti-codon) for a particular amino acid; and 'wobble' base-pairing, i.e. permitting non-standard base-pairing at the 3rd anti-codon position. RNAcentral also lists the same sequence under 1 other name. Lineage: Eukaryota; Metazoa; Chordata; Mammalia; Carnivora; Canidae. The record is from Rfam by way of RNAcentral.
GCCUGAGUGGCUCAGUGGUUGAGUGUCUGCCUUUGGCUCAGGUCAUGAUCCCGGGGUCCUGGGAUCAAGUCCCAGAUAAGGCU